RNAcentral lists this transfer RNA (73 nucleotides) under Felis catus (domestic cat). It matches the Rfam family "tRNA". From Rfam's summary of the family: Transfer RNA (tRNA) molecules are approximately 80 nucleotides in length. Their secondary structure includes four short double-helical elements and three loops (D, anti-codon, and T loops). The record is from Rfam by way of RNAcentral. RNAcentral also lists the same sequence under 3 other names. Lineage: Eukaryota; Metazoa; Chordata; Mammalia; Carnivora; Felidae.
ACCUGGCUGGCUCAGUUGGUAGAGUGUGUGACUCUUGAUCUUGGGAUUGUGAGUUCAUGCCCCACGUUGGGUA